RNAcentral lists this ribosomal RNA (253 nucleotides) under uncultured bacterium. RNAcentral describes it as "partial 16S ribosomal RNA". It matches the Rfam family "Bacterial small subunit ribosomal RNA", at positions 524 to 776 of the family's 1533-position model. The record is from RNAcentral.
GACGUAGGGCGCGAGCGUUGUCCGGAUUUAUUGGGCGUAAAGAGCUCGUAGGCGGCUUGUCGCGUCGACCGUGAAAACUUGGGGCUCAACCCCAAGCCUGCGGUCGAUACGGGCAGGCUAGAGUUCGGUAGGGGAGACUGGAAUUCCUGGUGUAGCGGUGAAAUGCGCAGAUAUCAGGAGGAACACCGGUGGCGAAGGCGGCAUCCUGGACCGGCAUUGACGCUGAGGCGCGAAAGCCAGGGGAGCAAACGGG